GUUAUUGUCGGAGUUUUGGUGGGGUGGACUUGGAAACCGAAAUGGGCUAAUUUGGGAAGAGAUUCUAAGUCGACAUCGACUUCUUUUUCCUUGUUGGGAUCAAUUCCGAGCUUCAAUUCCUUGAACUUUCAGAUGCCCAGCUGCAUACUUAGCUCCUUCGAUGGGAAAGAUGAGAAGGAAACUUCCUCCCCGCCGUCAAGUCCUGUUUCUGACUCCAGUUCGACAGAACUUGAAGGAGAAAAUUUGAGAGGUGUGAAUGAGGAUGAUUUGGAGUACUUAUGUAAGCUAGUUGAAGAGAAAGAUGGAGGACCUGCGUGGAUUAAAAUGAUGGAUCGCUCUACUUCAAAUAUGAGUUAUCAAGCAUGGAGAAGAGAUCCUGAGACUGGACCUCCACAAUAUAGAAGUAGAACAGUGUAUGAAAAUGCAACACCGGAGAUUGUGAGGGAUUUCUUUUGGGAUGAUGAUUUUCGGUCAAAAUGGGAUGACAUGCUUAUAUCUGCUACAACUUUGGUAGAAUGCCCAACAACAGGAACCAUGGUAGUUCAUUGGGUGCGCAAGUUUCCUUUCUUCUGUAGUGACAGAGAGUAUAUAAUAGGGCGACGAAUUUGGGAAGCAGGACGAUCAUAUUACUGUGUCACAAAGAGUGUACCAUGUUCCUCUGUACCAAGACGCAACAAACCAAGACGGGUUGAUUUGUACUAUUCGA
Molecule: unclassified non-coding RNA, 706 nt
Filed under: Hevea brasiliensis (rubber tree)
Lineage: Eukaryota; Viridiplantae; Streptophyta; Magnoliopsida; Malpighiales; Euphorbiaceae
Source: RNAcentral